GUCCACGCCGUAAACGAUGUCGAUUUGGAGGCUGUGUCCUUGAGACGUGGCUUCCGGAGCUAACGCGUUAAAUCGACCGCCUGGGGAGUACGGCCGCAAGGUUAAAACUCAAAUGAAUUGACGGGGCCGCACAAGCGGUGGAGCAUGUGGUUUAAUUCGAUGCAACGCGAAGAACCUUACCUGGCCUUGACAUGUCUGGAAUCCUGUAGAGAUACGGGAGUGCCUUCGGGAAUCAGAACACAGGUGCUGCAUGGCUGUCGU
RNAcentral lists this ribosomal RNA (261 nucleotides) under uncultured bacterium. Its description in RNAcentral is "partial 16S ribosomal RNA". It matches the Rfam family "Bacterial small subunit ribosomal RNA", at positions 793 to 1055 of the family's 1533-position model. The record is from RNAcentral.